UUUUAGAACAAAAUGAAUAGUUAAAGGGCUUAAACUAAACCAAAUUGUCUGAAAUUUUGUACAGUAAUUAAAAACCCGACAAAUUUUUAAUCUAUUAACUCAAAAUAUGAUUACAGCUUUUAAAUUUUGUGCGCGAGCCAUUUUUAGUUUGUUGGGAAAGACACACCCCCCUGGUUCACAGAAUUUGAGUUCGAGAAUUUUUUUUCAUUAUUUUACAUUAUAAGUACCCAAAGAAGCUAUAUAUAUAACUGAC
Paramuricea clavata is the source of this 253-nucleotide non-coding RNA. Lineage: Eukaryota; Metazoa; Cnidaria; Anthozoa; Malacalcyonacea; Plexauridae. The record is from the annotation of a GenBank genome assembly.